Long non-coding RNA from Hemicordylus capensis (graceful crag lizard), 1072 nucleotides. RefSeq lists it as uncharacterized. Lineage: Eukaryota; Metazoa; Chordata; Lepidosauria; Squamata; Cordylidae. The record is from RefSeq and is a predicted model, not a curated record. The transcript has 6 exons.
AUAGAAUCUCUGCUAGGGUCUCUAGGGCAGGACUGAGGGUGGAAUUUGGAGUUUCAAGGUAUCAGUGCCAAAGCAGAAUAGUAGCUAAUAGUCACUGCAAAGGAAGAAAAGCGAAAGCACACAAUGAAAACAGACUGGGUUCGAGGUGAAUAAUGUAGCUGAGGAGUUAACUACAUUCAUUUCAAGAAGUUUGUCCCAGUGGGGAUCCUGUAAAGAGUGUGGCGGUGCGAGAUGGAGUCAGAAAGGAAAAGGGAGGAAAAGGGGAAGGAGAAAAUGGAGUUGCUCCUGAAUGAACUCUUAUUUGAAUCUACAUUAGAAGAUGACUUUGUGUUUUUGAGGGAAGCAGCUAUAAAACACUUGGCGAUGACAAGAUUUUGAACCAGCUAAGCCUGAGAGCCUGCAAAGCUUGUGAAUAUUCUUGCAACUUCAUUUCAUUGCAUUACUGGGCCUAUAUUUCUGAACUUCUUUCUACUAUCACUGCUGCUGACUAUUUCUCCAGCUUGCUGAAUCCUGACCAGCACAACCCCUGAAGGAUGAAAAUUGCAGGAUGGUGUCCCUUUCCUGGGGCAUUAUGUAUGCCAAAUUGCAGACAAAGCACUGCAGGAGGUUAUGUGCAGCAACACCUGAAGGUCUAAGCCUACAGAAGAACGGGCCCUGCUGAAGGAGAGCCAGUAUGGCUUCUACAAAGGAAGAGGAGAGAAAAACCAGUAUGAUGCCAGUUUGCUUCCCAAUCUCUACAGGCUUUCUGGGGAGUGCCUGGCUGUGCUGCCCUAAGAACCUGCCCAGAAUCUGCUGCCUGAAGCAACUCACUUCACCUUACCUAAUGAUAGGGCUGGCUCCGACUUCUAGUCAGCCUUCAUUUAUGUCCACUCAUUCUUCUACUUUUGAAAUUAGAUUUUAAACUUCAAGAUUUCAUGUCAAUUGAUGGCACUUUGUAAACAAAUAACAGUGGUAAUGAUGCUAAUUCCUUGGUAUAGCAUGUGAAAUACAAAUCAAGAUGGGUUUCUCCAUCUUUUCAAAUUUACACUUUAAAAUAGAUUUGUCUUUACACUAGAUGUAAAUAAACUUUUGU